UUUGCGACGUUGACCUGUUCAGAUUGCCCGGCCAGUUUGCCGAUGGCUUCGUGAAUGCUCGGAUGCCAGGUAACGGCGCGGUUGACCGCAUCAUUGAGAGUCAGCGUUCCCGGCGCGGGGGCGUCCAACGGUAAGCUGGUGGAGCCAUCAAGUGCCGGUAGUUGUUGCUCAGAGAGUUCCUGAGUACUGAUAAAUUGUGGUGUGUCAUCGGCAUGCGCCUGGGCUAUACACAGGCUGCAUGCCAGCCACAGUGCAAACGGCUGUAAUUUUCCCAUAGUCAGUCCCUUUUAAAAGUCACUACGUUCUAAUUGGUAUGGCUUGCCUGCUUUUGU
Molecule: small RNA, 332 nt
Filed under: Buttiauxella agrestis ATCC 33320
Lineage: Bacteria; Pseudomonadati; Pseudomonadota; Gammaproteobacteria; Enterobacterales; Enterobacteriaceae
Description: isrL Hfq binding RNA
Rfam family: isrL Hfq binding RNA
Source: Rfam by way of RNAcentral